UCUGCUCUGGAAGAGAAGUGGUUUAACAACAGCAGCCAACCGAAAGCCCUUCAGGAGCCCUGAGACACCAUGUAAAGGAGUCCCUCUGCCCUGCUGCACAGAGAAGCCAUGUGGAGAGAAUUUAGUCUGGCCAUCCCUGGCCAUUCCAGCCAUCCCAGCUGGAGCCUCAGACGUGUGAGUGAAACUAGCUGAGCUCUUCCAGUCCAGGAUAAAAAGUGAUUUAAAUUGAAGUCCAGGG
Molecule: long non-coding RNA, 238 nt
Organism: Neogale vison (American mink)
Lineage: Eukaryota; Metazoa; Chordata; Mammalia; Carnivora; Mustelidae
Exons: 3
Source: RefSeq, a predicted model, not a curated record